This is a long non-coding RNA of Pundamilia nyererei, 410 nucleotides long. RefSeq lists it as uncharacterized. The record is from RefSeq and is a predicted model, not a curated record. Lineage: Eukaryota; Metazoa; Chordata; Actinopteri; Cichliformes; Cichlidae. The transcript has 3 exons.
GGAGAGUCCAGCAGAGAGAGCUGCUUUUUCAUGAAACGGGAUGUAAAAUACUAAACUUACAGGAACGUAUACCACUACCAACGUUUGGAUCGAUAUCUGCAUCGAUCAGCACACCCUUGUCUCCUGGAAUGUAGCUGAGAUCAGCGUGAACCACGUGGGUCUCUGCUCCGUCUCUGUGUUUCUUAAGACUUCCAGCUUCAUCACGGAGUUUCUCUCGGCUUUUUGUGGGCUCAUCUAAAGCUGAGUAACAGGAGGAGAAGAAUGGUGGUGCAGCAGAGGAUAAAUUUCAGCCAUUUGGACUCAGCUCAGCCACUACAGAGGAAACAAUGACUUCAACACAAAAGGACCAACAUGGAGCAAGAAGUCAGCGCUCUCAGGAGGCCGACAAACCUUACAGAAGAAAGGGAGAG